UACAGAGGGUGCAAGCGUUGUUCGGAAUUACUGGGCGUAAAGCGCGUGUAGGCGGCGUCGUUAGUCGGAUGUGAAAGCCCUCGGCUCAACCGAGGAAGUGCAUCCGAUACUGCGAUGCUUGAGUGUUGGAGGGGGUGGCGGAAUUCCCGGUGUAGAGGUGAAAUUCGUGAGAUAUCGGGAGGAACACCAGUGGCGAAGGCGGUUGCCUGGGGCUUUGCUGACGCUGAUGCGCGAAAGGCGUGGGGACGAUCCGG
This 254-nucleotide ribosomal RNA is filed under the name uncultured bacterium. Its description in RNAcentral is "partial 16S ribosomal RNA". It matches the Rfam family "Bacterial small subunit ribosomal RNA", at positions 524 to 776 of the family's 1533-position model. The record is from RNAcentral.